CCUAGGCACACAGAGGCGAAGAAGGACGUGGCGACCGACGAAAAGCUCCGGGGAGUUGGAAGCGAGCAGUGAUCCGGAGAUAUCCGAAUGGGGCAACCCUAAAAACAGCCUGUUGAAUAUAUAGACAGGCAUGAGCCAACCCAGCGAACUGAAACAUCUUAGUAGCUGGAGGAAAAGAAAGAAAAAUCGAUUCCCUCAGUAGUGGUGAGCGAAAGGGGAAGAGCCUAAACCAUGUGAUUUAUUGCAUGGGGUAGUGGGACAGCGAUAUGGAAGCCGGAAGCUAGACGAAGCAGUUGGAAUGCUGCACCAGAGGGAGUGAAAGUCCCGUAGUCGAAAGUGUACGGAUACUAGCUGAAUCCCGAGUAGCACGGGGCACGAGGAAUCCCGUGUGAAUCAGCCGAGACCACUCGGUAAGGCUAAAUACUACUGUGUGACCGAUAGUGAACCAGUACCGCGAGGGAAAGGUGAAAAGAACCCCGCAAGGGGAGUGAAAUAGAACAUGAAACCGUAAGCCUACAAGCAGUGGGAGGACGAUUCAACGUCUGACCGCGUGCCUGUUGAAGAAUGAGCCGGCGACUUAUAGGCAGUGGCAGGUUAAGGCACUAUGUGCUGAAGCCAAAGCGAAAGCGAGUCUGAAAAGGGCGAAUAGUCACUGGUUAUAGACCCGAACCCGGGUGAUCUAACCAUGUCCAGGAUGAAGCUUGGGUAAAGCCAAGUGGAGGUCCGCACCGACUGAUGUUGAAAAAUCAGCGGAUGAGGUGUGGUUAGGGGUGAAAUACCAAUCGAACCCGGAGCUAGCUGGUUCUCCCCGAAAUGUGUUGAGGCGCAGCGGUUGUGAUUAUAGCCUGGGGGUAAAGCACUGUUUCGGUGCGGGCUGCUAACGCGGUACCAAAUCGAGACAAACUCAGAAUACCAGGUGCACACACAGCCAGUGAGACGGUGGGGGAUAAGCUUCAUCGUCAAGAGGGAAACAGCCCAGACCACCAGCUAAGGUCCCCAAAUUGUCACUAAGUGAUAAAGGAGGUGGGAGUGCAAAGACAACCAGGAGGUUUGCCUAGAAGCAGCCACCCUUGGAAGAGUGCGUAAUAGCUCACUGGUCAAGCGCUCUCGCGCCGAAAAUGAACGGGGCUAAGUGACGUACCGAAGCUGUGGGAUAUGCAAGUAUCGGUAGGGGAGCGUUCCGCGUUAGGGUGAAGCACUAGCGGCAAGCAGGUGUGGACGAAGCGGAAGUGAGAAUGUCGGCUUGAGUAGCGAAAACAUUGGUGAGAAUCCAAUGCCCCGAAACCCUAAGGGUUCCAGAGCAAGGUUCGUCCGCUCUGGGUUAGUCAGGACCUAAGGCGAGGCCAAACGGCGUAGUCGAUGGACAACGGGUCAACAAUCCCGUACUGAGAUUGAUUUGUGCAGAGGGACGGAGAAGGCAAUCACGAGCCGGAUGUUGGUUACCGGUUCAACUGUCAAGGUGCUGAGGAGCGGAGAAAACGCUCGGAGCCGAGACAGGAGUACGAGGGUCUACGGACCCGAAGUCGUGUAGUCAAGCUUCCAAGAAAAGCUUUAAGCACGUUAAAUCAAUUUUACCUGUACCCGAAACCGACACAGGUAGGGAGGUUGAGUAAACUAAGGGGCGCGAGAUAACUCUCUCUAAGGAACUCGGCAAAAUGGCCCCGUAACUUUGGAAGAAGGGGUGCCCACGAAGGUGGGUCGCAGUGAAGAGAUCCAGGCGACUGUUUACCAAAAACACAGGUCUCCGCGAAGUCAAAUGACGAUGUAUGGGGGCUGACGCCUGCCCAGUGCCGGAAGGUUAAGGAAGUCGGUCAGGGGGAAACCCUAAAGCUGGCGACUGAAGCCCCGGUGAACGGCGGCCGUAACUAUAACGGUCCUAAGGUAGCGAAAUUCCUUGUCGGGUAAGUUCCGACCCGCACGAAAGGCGUAACGAUCUGGAUGGUGUCUCAGAGAGAGACUCGGCGAAAUAGGAAUGUCUGUGAAGAUACGGACUGCCUGCACCUGGACAGAAAGACCCUAUGAAGCUUUACUGUAGCCUGGAAUUGGGUUCGGGCUUCGCUUGCGCAGGAUAGGUGGGAGGCAUUGAUACUGCCCUUGUGGGGGCAGUGGAGCCAACGGUGAGAUACCACUCUGGCGAAGCUAGAAUUCUAACCGGUAGCCGUGAAUCCGGCACUGGAACCGUUUCAGGUGGGCAGUUUGACUGGGGCGGUCGCCUCCUAAAUUGUAACGGAGGCGCGCAAAGGUUCCCUCAGCACGGUUGGAAAUCGUGCACAGAGUGUAAAGGCAAUAAGGGAGCUUGACUGCAAGAGCAACAACUCAAGCAGGGACGAAAGUCGGCCUUAGUGAUCCGACGGCACUGA
Molecule: ribosomal RNA, 2360 nt
Filed under: Kiefferophyes invenustulus
Lineage: Eukaryota; Metazoa; Arthropoda; Insecta; Diptera; Chironomidae
Description: bacterial LSU rRNA
Rfam family: Bacterial large subunit ribosomal RNA
Source: RNAcentral